CUACGGGUUGCACCAGUGGGGAAUAUUGCACAAUGGGCGCAAGCCUGAUGCAGCCAUGCCGCGUGUAUGAAGAAGGCCUUCGGGUUGUAAAGUACUUUCAGCGGGGAGGAAGGGAGUAAAGUUAAUACCUUUGCUCAUUGACGUUACCCGCAGAAGAAGCACCGGCGAACUCCGUGCCAGCAGCCGCGGUAAUACGGAGGGUGCAAGCGUUAAUCGGAAUUACUGGGCGUAAAGCGCACGCUGGCGGUUUGUUAAGUCAGAUGUGAAAUCCCCGGGCUCAACCUGGGAACUGCAUCUGAUACUGGCAAGCUUGAGUCUCGUAGAGGGGGGUAGAAUUCCAGGUGUAGCGGUGAAAUGCGUAGAGAUCUGGAGGAAUACCGGUGGCGAAGGCGGCCCCCUGGACGAAGACUGACGCUCAGGUGCGAAAGCGUGGGGAGCAAACAGGAUUAGAUACCCCUGUAGUC
Molecule: ribosomal RNA, 464 nt
Filed under: uncultured bacterium
Lineage: Bacteria
Description: partial 16S ribosomal RNA
Rfam family: Bacterial small subunit ribosomal RNA
Source: RNAcentral